AGCGCCAACCCCCGGCCGUUAGUUGCCAGCGGUUCGGCCGGGCACUCUAACGGGACUGCCCGCGAAAGCGGGAGGAAGGAGGGGACGACGUCUGGUCCAGCAUGGCCCUUACGGCCCUGGGCGACACACGUGCUACAAUGCCCACUACAAAGCGAUGCCACCCGGCAACGGGAGCUAAUCGACAAAAGGUGGGCCCAGUUCGGAUUGGGGUCUGCAACCCGACCCCAUGAAGCCGGAAUCGCUAGUAAUCGCGGAUCAGCCAUGCCGCGGUGAAUACGUUCCCGGGCCUU
RNAcentral lists this ribosomal RNA (290 nucleotides) under uncultured Thermus sp. RNAcentral describes it as "partial 16S ribosomal RNA". It matches the Rfam family "Bacterial small subunit ribosomal RNA", at positions 1095 to 1382 of the family's 1533-position model. Lineage: Bacteria; Thermotogati; Deinococcota; Deinococci; Thermales; Thermaceae. The record is from RNAcentral.